AACAACAGACAAGGUCUCGAAAUUAUCAGGGUCCUCCAAAUACAACUUCAAAUCAGCUGCCCUUUUCGCAGUACCGAACCUUACACAUGGAGCUCUAGUCAUACCAUCUUUCAAUAGAACACUUGUAGCUCCACCAGACAAAUGAAUAGCCUUACAGCCCCUAUUAGUGCUAGCCACCAAGCACCCUUCCGUGGUUGCCAUAGGAACCGAGUACUCUCUUCCAUUAACCAACAAAGGCCCGGAAAUUCCAACGGGAAUUUGCACGUAGCCAACCGGCAUCUCACAACACUGCCCCAAAAUCGACUCGUAAUCAAACCCAUCCAAGGGCAAUCCUGAUAACGACUUCCCUGUUAAUCUUUGCAACGCUUCCCGCCUGAUUGCGGCCGCCCUCUUGCAAUCACCCAAUUUCGAUUCCAAGGAAUACGAAGGGGUUGUUCCAGCAACUACAGAUUUAAUUAUUUCUUCAUCUUCCUCCGUUAGUACCGUCACAGGCUUUUCAUCGAACACUUUCUGGGCAGUCACGAUUGGUGCCGCAGGAGGCAAAGGAGGAAGCAAGCAAUCAAGAGCUUGUCCGCAAGGGACCUUACGGGCAUCCUCUUUUGCAAGCAAAACUUCGUUUUCCUCUUCCUCGUCUUCGGCAAUCCAAUCGUCAGACGAUGGCCGGAAAACCAAAGAUUGAACGAAGUCAAGCCCAAAGAAACCCAAAAGGUAAAUAAACGAUGCGAAAAACGCGAGAAUCGCGAUGAUCUCAGAAAAGGUGACGACAUGGAGAGGCGUGGAGGUACGGAUCUUCUCACGCCAACGGGAAAGAAGGAAAUAAACCACCGAGAAGAAGAGGGUAAAGAACACCGCAUUCGUCAGAUGAAAAGGAAGCGGCAAUGCGUCGGAGGCUUUAGUGGGAUCUUCCUCUAAAGGAAUCUUCUUCGUGGGCUUGAGAGAUUGAACUCGUUUAGUCGAAUACAGCCGGGGAGCCUCCAUUUUGGGUGUCGACGGCGGCGGAAACCCGGCGGUGGAGGAGGAGAAUAGAAGAGGAAUGAAAGUAAGAGAUGAUUUCAGUUAGUUUUACGAUUAUGGUGAAGGUGGAGCUUGAGAUGCUAGAGUUUAGGGAGGGAAGGGGAGUAUUUAUAGGAUAAAGAGUAAAGAGAGCGUGAGGAAAAAGGCGCGUGAAGUGAAGAUGGGGCAGUGUUUGGCACUUGUUAGUGUGGAGCUUUACCAAGAGAAGAGUCAAAGAAAGAAUUAUAGGGAUAGUGUUUGGAAGCGUGCAGUGCAUGGGAGCAACGUCGUCAGCACAUCCUGGCUGCUUCAUUUUCAUUUAGGGUAAACUACACAAUCAGUCACUAAAGUAUGGGUACGUUUUUGUUUUGAUCACUGAACUAAAAAAGUUACAAUUUUGUUACUGAACUAUUCAAAAGUUUCCAUUUAAGUCACUGAGCUGUUAAAAUCGAUGCUACACAGCUUUUUCUCUUCACACUGCCUACAUGAAUCGGAAGUUCUCUUUCCCUUUCUUUUUUACGAUUCAAUUUUUUUCUACAACUUUUUUCUUCGUUAGAAAAUGACCUUCAGAUCGACUUGAAUCUAAGAUAUGUUCUUUUACUUGCUAAUGGGUAUUGAUCCACUGUACCAGUCGUUGAGUCGUCACUUGGAGCUCGUUGACAGAAUUUUUAAAAAAAAAUAGUUAACAACCUAGUGACUUAAACAAUUUUUUUUGAAUAGUUCAAUGACUUAAAUGAAAAAUUUCAAAUAUUUUAGUGACCAAAUUGUAACUUUUUAGUUAAGUGACCAAAACGAAAACUUAUCCAUAAUUUAGUGACUAAUAAUAUAAUUUUCCAUUCAUUAUAUUUGGUCUUUCUCCCUAUUUUGAUAUUUUCUGUCACGUGUUUUUCAUUAUUGUAUGGGUUUAAUUAUUCCUUAUUUUGGGUUGUUUUUCAUAAUAAAUUAUCCAAAUAAAUAUUAACGCUGUUGUUAAGUUAUAUACAUUUUUGGGCAAAUGUCUAUUAAAAGAAAUAGAAAUGAAAGAAAGUCGUAUUUAUUAUUAGCAUAAUUUUUUUACCUUCCAAAUUUAUAAAAAAAUUAUUUAUUUUAUCUCUUUUAGUCUUUCAAUUUAUUUUUUUAUCAAAUUAUUUCAAAAUGAAUUAAAAAGUUAAAAUUCUUUAACUUUGUUGAUGUUACAUACACGUGGAUUACCAUCUAGAUAACACAUAAAUAUUUAAAAUCUUAAAAACAUUAACAAAUAUAUAUUUUUAUAAUUUUAUACUUUUAUAAUACUUUUAUUGGUUUUUAAAUUUUAAAAAUAGUUUUUAAAAAUAUAUUUUUAAAAUUUUAAAUUUAAAAAAAUUAAUUAAAUACCGGCGUGUUAUCCACGUGACAAUGCACGUGUAUUCAAGUAAGCAAAGUUAAACAACAUCAACUUUUUCAUUCAUUUUGAGGUAAUUUGAUAAAAAAAUUAGUUUAAGAGCUAAAAAAGGACAAAAUUAAAUAGAAAACUAAAAUGACAUUUUUUUGUAAAGUUAAAGAAUCAAAUAAAUUAUUAUGCCUUUAUUAUUUAAUAAAAUUUAUGCAAAGUAGGACUUUGACUUGAAUUCAUAAUUAAUUUUGAUUUUUUCCUUUUGCUCGUAAUUAAUUGGAUAAGUUUAUAAUUUAAAUUAAUAUGUAAAAAAAUUAAAAUAUAGAGCUUUCACAGCUCAUUUUUCCUUUUUAGAUUAUUAUUUUUUUGCAUGUUUAUUAAAUUAAAGUUCAAAUUUGACAUUUUUAAUAUUUUAAUAUAAUCAAAUUAGACCUAUUUUAUAUUAAAUAAAAUCUAACCCAUUCUUUAAUCCUUAAUUUUCACGUUUCUGUAUUUUUUUCCCAUCAAUUCAAGCAGCCUCUUGCUCUGUAGUCAUAUGUAUGUAUAUAUGACAAUAAUUAUUAUUCGGUUUACGUGGACUUUUAUACAAUAAUGAAGAUUUUUUUUAGGGUAAAUUAUUAAAACAUCAUUUCAAAAAUCAAGUGUAAUAAACAAAAUCCUUAAUCCAAUAAUAAUAAUAAUAAUAAAUUGGAUCUUUGAAUUAUCGUUUCUAUCACGACUCUUGAUAAUUAAUUACUGACAUGAUAAGUGAUGUGGUGGGUGACAUGAAACUUUUGAUGAUAUGGUGGUUGAUAUGGAGGACUUAAUUGAUUUUUGUUAUUAUUUUAGGAGGCUUAAUUGAUGUUUAAGGAUUAUAUAACAAUUCUUAAGAAAUUAUUGAAAAUUAUUAAAAAAACAAAAAUGGAAAGAAAAUAUUAAAAUUAUUAUAAAAUUUUAGCUAAAAGUUAUUAAAAUAUUUAAAAAAUGUUGAAAAUUAUACAACUAUAGAAUUUAUUAAAUAUCAUAAAAUUUUAAAACUAUUAUUAAUAUGUUAUGAAAAUAAUGGAAAUAUUAAAUUAAUAUUAUAAAAAAUUUAGAAAUGAUAGGAAAUGAUAUAAAAACAAUUAAAAUGAUAAAAAAAUAAAAAUAAAAAUUAUUGAAAGUAUAAAAAAUUUGAGUUAAGGUAGUGAUUGUAUAGACGAUAAAAAUUUUAUAUGCUUAAAAGUUAAUGACAUGGUUUAUUCUAUUCGUGCCUAAAAACAUUAAUUUAUAAAAUAAUUUAUUUUUAUAAAUAUUAAUAUAUACACUUUUUUAGAUUGAUAUGAUAGAAAAAUCGAAUCGAUUAAAAAUUUUACAAUAAAAUGAUUUAAAAAAAAAAUAAAGAAUGUUUUUUGGGCUACGUAAAAGAAUAUUGAUCACUCUAUAAGACUGGUUUUUUAUAUCCUUUUGCAUAUAUUUUAGUAGAUAAGGGAGAAAUUAUUUUCUUUACGCCUCUGGUUUCUAUACGGCUGAAAUUUUCAUUCAGUCAAUGACAUGAAUUUCAAAAUAGGAUGCCUAUUUAAUUUUUAUAAAUACAAAUGAUUGUACCCAAAUAUAAUAAUUUGCAUGCGUAUAUAUAUUUGAAUAAUUUCUGAUAGUUCUCUUUAAUAUUACUUAUAGUCUAUUCCCAGCUCAUAAAUAGGAGGAUAAUGUGAUUCAGCAUACUCAAACCCACGUCAUCUUGCAUUGAAAACAAUAAUCAUACUAAUCGAACUAAGACUCAAUCAACAAUUUGCAUAAUUCAUGCAAUUGGUGAUUAUUAUAAAACAACAUUCAAUAAAUAUUAAUAUUCAAAUGUUAAAUUUAUAAUUGUUUGUGCUAUUUUAGGUUCCAACAAGUUAAAAAUUCGUGUUGGGUUAGUUUUUUUUAUAUAUAUGUUUCUGGAGAUCUGUUAAAGGAUGCAGUCAAUUAUCAGGAGUCACUCUCGAAGGGUCUUAUCAUAUAAUAGAACACAAUAAUGGUAUUUGUUAAAAUUGGAAUCUAAGAUGGUGAAAAGGAGGAUAGCCACCUUUGACUUAACCUUUUGUACAUUAUGGAUGCGAUGAGUCUCUUGAUUGAUCGAAGUUUAUUGUCAGCCUUUUGUACAUCACAGAUGCAGUGAGUCUCUUGACAGAUAUUUCUUGGUUGACUGGAGUUUAUUGUCAGGUUGGUUUGAUGAUGGCACGAUUAAGAUACAAUUUUCAAUGGUUUGAUCAAGAUGGUACAUUUUUUGUUUGUUUUUGAAUUCUUUUAGAGUUACGAAUAUUUUACAAACAUAUAACAUAUGAGCAUCAAUUUAUAAUUUAUUAUAUCCCAUAUUUUUAUAUUCUUAUUAUUCAUGAUUGCUAUUAAUGAUAUGUUUUCUUUGUACAUAUAUGAAAUAGACGAUAAGAUUGAAGUAAUUUCUUUUUCCAAAAUAAUAAGCAUGCAUGAGAAUUGUUCAUCGCCAUGUGCUAAAGACUUGGACUGUUUGUCAAAGUUCUCUUCAAAAAAAUCAUAUAACUCACAAUGAAAGUUUAUAUAUAUAUAUAUAUAUAUAUAUAUAUAAGCAUAGUCAGGCCAACCAAUGUAGAAAAAAACUAACAUGAUAUCAUCUUUUCUUAUUGCCCAGUAUUUAUUUAGCAAAUAUUGACUGUAAUAUUGUCAUGAUUAGACCAUAUUAUUUUUGGACAAGAACAAGGUCAUUUCCAGUAAAUUCAAAAUAAAAUAUUAACUUAGUUUUAAAAUUAGAUUAAAAAGACAAUGUAACCCAAAAAGUUCAAAUAAGCCCCUAUUUUAAUAAAAUCAGUAGGUUCAAAUUUAAAAUUUCGAACAAAAUUAGGUGUCUAUAUAGAUAUUUUGUUAAAUACCAAAAUUUCCAAUGAAUUAUCAAAAUUUCUAAACUUAUACCAGAAUACCAAAAUUUCUAAAGUAAUAGUUGAUAUACCAAAGAUAUUACGUUAUAUGCCACAAUUUUAAGGGAAUACCAAUAUUUCUAAGCAAUCUCAUUAGAAAUUUUGGUAUACCAAAUCAUGUUACACAAACUUUUACCAAAAUUUCUAAGAGUUCAACAUUUUAGAUCACAAUUUCAAAGUAAAUAUCAAUAUUUCUAAGGAACCUCAUUAGAAAUUUUGGUAUACCAAAAUCAUGUUGCACAAGCCUAUACCAAGAUUUUUAAUGAAAUGCUAAAAUUUCUAAGCGCAUAUCUUUAGAUAUUUUGGUAUACCCAAAUCGCGUUAUAGAAGCUUUUACCAAAAUUUCUAAAAGAAUAGUAAUAUUUCUAAGGAACCUUGCUAGAAAUUUUGGUAUAUCAAAAUCAUGUUACACAAGCCUAUACCAAAAUUUUCUAGUGAAAUACCAAAACUUCUAAGCACAUAUCUUUAGAUAUUUUAGUAUAUGCUUCAAUUUCUAAGGGUACCAAUAUUUCUAUGGAACUUUGUCAAAAAUUUUGGUAUGCCAAAAUCAUUUUACACAAGAUUUUACCAAAAUUUCUUAGAGCUUAACCUUAGAUAUUUUGGUAUGUAGCGCAAUUCUUAAGGGAAUAUCAAUAUUUCUAAACAACCUCGUUAGAAAUUUUGGAAUACUAAAAUUAUGUUACACAAGCCUAUAUUAAUAUCUUUAAUGAAAUAUUGAAGUUUUUAAGAGCUUAUCCUUAGAUGUUUUGACAUAUACCACUUUUUGUAAGGGAAUACCAAUAUUUCUAUAGAACUCUGUUAAAAAUUUUAGUAUACCGAAAUCUAGAUUUACAAACUUAUAUCAAGAAUUCUAACAAAAUACCAAUAUUUCUAAUAGCAUAUCCUUAAAUAAUUUGAUAUAUUCCAAAAUUUAUAAUGGAAGACCAAAAUUUCUAUAACUUUCAAUGAACUACAGUUCUUGGUAAAUCUAUAUACCUAUAUAUAUAUAUAUAUAUAUGAAAGGAAAAACAUCCUCCUUUUCUUGAUAGAUGGCACACCUAAAAUCAAUGGCGGACGUUAUAGAUGGCACACCUACAAUCAAUGGCGGAGUCAAGUAGAGGCUUAGGGGACCAUGACCUCCCAAAGUUUAAUUUUUUUUAAUUUAGUCCUUUGUAAAUAUACUAUGGCCCUUCCUAAAAUAUAAGUAGAUCCUCCUAAAGUUUAAGAUUUUUGCAAUUUCCCCCUUUAUAUAUAUUAUGGUUCUCCUAAAAAUAUAAAUACUCCCCUCCAAUAUUUUUAUAGUAUUAAAAAUAAAAUUAAAAAAAUUAUUCUUGAUAAAAACAAAGAAAAAUAUUCUUGAAGAUGCUAAAUUACUCAUGAUGACUUUUGAAUGAUAUUUUUGUUAAAAAAUAAUAAAUCAAUUGUUAUAUUGAAAUACUCCUUCUUUUGAAUUGAUUGUUUAUAUGUUUAAAUCGAUUGUUACGUAACACGUCUAAUUUUAGCAUGAUCCCCUCCAAAAUUAACAUCUUGGCUCCGCCACUGCCUACAAUACUCCUUUUAUUUUGCAUUCAAUAAAAAAAGUUAAAUUUCAAUUUCGGUUCAUCUAAUAUGCCUAAACUUGAGAUUUAAUAUAUAUACUUUAAUUUCUAACAUAAUUUGGUUUCUAUAUAUUAUUAUAAUAUUAUUAAUCAGUUCAAAUAGUUAAUAUUAUUCACUUUUCAAUUAAAAUAUUAUAUGGUUAUAUAUAAUUUGAAUACCUUAAUAGUCUUGGAGGCUAACAUACAGCUUUUUGUUUCAUUUAAGUUCGUGUCAUUUUUUUAACAUUAUAAGAUAAUGGUCAAAUUUUAUUUUUGGCCUCUAGACUAUGUUAAAACUUGAGAUUAAUCUAUAUACUUUAAUAUUUUACAUAAUUUGGGCUAUCUACUUUUAUAAUGUCAUUAGCUGGUCUAAAUAAUUAAUAUUAUUAACUAUUUUAAUUAAAAUGUUGGGUAAAUUUUUCUUAAGAACAUUAUUUCAAGAAGAAAAAAAUUAUUUUAUCGAAUUUAAAUGAGUGUUUUUAAGAGAAACUCCUAAUCAAUAUUUUUAACAUUAUUUUUAUUGUUACAUGACUAUUAAGGGAAUCUUUUUAUUUUAAAAUGUCCACCAGAGAAUUUAAUAUAAUAAUUUUAUCGAUGGUAACAAUUGAGCUAAAAUUUUUAAUUUGAAAAGUAGAUAAUUAUGUUCUUAAAAAUAAAAGUAAGACUAAAUUUCAAAUGAACAAAGUGUAUCAGGUCUUAGAGUAUAUUUUAAUCUUCAAAUUUUUACUUUAUAAUUUCACACAAAUAAAUAAUCAACUUAACGUGAAGCAUGAGAUGAGAACCUUAUUAGUAUUUUUCAAAAGUUGCUUAAUGCGCUUUAAAAGUUAUCAAGUAUUUUACAUUAAGGCAAAAAAAAAGAGAGAGAGUAAACUACACUCAAUUUCACUAAACUACUAGUAAAUUUACAUUUAGGUUACUCAACUUCAGAAAGUUAUAAAAUGAUCAUUGAACUAUUUGAAAGUUUUCAUUUAACUUGGCGGACUGUUAAAAUCAUUGAUGUAUGGCCUUUCCUAUUUGCAUCGCAAACACCAAUUGAAAGCUUUCCUUCCCUUUCUCUUCUACAUUUCAAUUUUUUUUCAUGAAAUAACUUUGAACGUGACAAAUCUGUAAACAAAAAUCUAAACAGCUUUCUUCUUUAAUCUCUAACACUAAUCGUCAGAUCAACUUGAAUAUAAUGCAUGUUCUUCUACUCAUCAAUUGGUACAGAUCCAUCGUACUGAUCGUUGAACCAUUGCUUGGAGCUCGCUAGCUUGGCCUUUUAAAAAAAAAAAAACCCUUUAUAACCCAAUGACUUAAAUGAGAGUGACCAUUCUGUAAUAUUUUGAAGUUGAGUGAUUUGAAUAUAAACCUACUAAUAGUUAUCUUUGGUUUAGUUUACCCAAAAAUAUAUAUUAUAUAUAGUUAAUAUAUGUCAUAAGUCCCUAUACUAUUCAUAAAAUUGAAAUUUAAUCCAUCUUAAUUUCUAGAAAUUUAAUCCUAUACUUUAAAGAUUUUUCAAAAUUCAAAUUCAAUUGUUAACAUUGUUAAAAUUAUUUUAUUAAAUUCAUGUUCGUUAUAACAUUAUAUUUCUAUCAAGUGAGUUUUUUUUUAAAUGUCACGCCAAUAAAUUUUAAAAAAAAAUAAUGUUAACAAGUGUACCAAUAUUUUGAAAUCUCAAGAGUAGAAGAAUUAAAUUCUUGAAAAUAAAAAGCAUAAGAACUAAAUUUGAAAUUUAUGAAGAGUACAAUGAUUUAUGACAUAUAUAAACCUAUAUAUAAUAAAAGAAAGGAAAAAACAAAAAUACCAAAUAAAUACCAACAAGUGUUAAGGACAACAUAUCGCAUAGGAGACACAAGUUUAAAUUUUGAACACAAUAUAGUUAGGAGAAGCAGCCAUAAACCCAAACACAAACAGUAAAAGGGACAUUUAAAAUACCAAAAAAAUUACAAAAUAAAUAAAAAAAAACUACAAAGGGAAGUUUAUGCUGCAAGAGAUGAAACGCUGUGGACCAACUAAUUUUUACUCGUCAACUAAUUGGGUAUAGAUCCUUUGUUCCAUAUUCAUCAUCUACCAUUGUAAGAUAUGGCUUCCAAGGCCUCCCUGACGGUAUCAGAGUAAUUCUGUGCCUCUCUAAUGAAAUUAAUUGAUGACGGUUGGCCGGCUCGAAACACAACCUCAUUUCUCAUUUUCCGGAUAAUAAACAGACACCCAAAAGUUAAGACUGUAUCCUGAUCACUGAAGACAACCAGUGAGAGAUAUUAUACCGUGACAAUAAAUGGGAUGUACAUCUAAGCUAGACACAAGGAGAUAUGUCUCCUUAGUACUUUCUACCAUUGGAGAUUGCAACUUUACCCCCAAAUAUCAGACUAUCGUUACGUUUUCUCUAUGAAGAAGCCUUGGACACAUCCUUAGUUGACCUAUUGUACUUCAUAUGGCUCUUAACUAAUUGUCCUGCUGCAAUUGCAGACAUAAGCGACAGCUCCCCUGCAAGAACAGCAGACGCUACAAUGGUUGCCAGCGUCCUAGAGUUUGCUCCUGGUGUCUCUUUGCUUGCACCCUUCACUCCAAGUAAGUUCAAACAGGCUGAUUGAGAUGCAAGCUGAGUUCCACCACCAACAGUCCCAACCUAAAAGAUACAGCAACACAGAUUAUUAGAGACUAACAUAAAUACCCAGAUUUUGUUUUGGCAACGAAAGUCCUUGUGUUGGAUAAUCAGACAGCAACACUAUCAAUUACCUCGAUGGAAGGCAUUGUGACAGAGACGUGGAGGUCCUUUCCAUCAUUAACAGCUUCCAUCAUCGUGAUGCAAUGCGAGCUCUCGACAUUUUGAGCCGGAUCUUGGCCGGUAGCUAUGUAGAUUGCAGCAACGAUGUUACUGGCGUGAGCGUUGAAUCCACCCAGAGCUCCAGCCAUAGCUGAUCCAGUAAGGUUCUUAAGCAUGUUAAGCUCAACGAGAGAUUCCACACUUGUCUUCAAGACCUUCCUAACCACAUCACCCUUAAUGGUGGCUUCACAGACAACAGAUUUGCCUCGUCCUUCAAUCCAAUUUACCGCAGCCGGUUUUUUGUCGGAACAAUAGUUUCCUAUAUGCGCAAAUUCAUAAAUAUCAGUGAUCCUAUGUCGGAACAGUGAAAGACAUAAUUACAAGCCUAUACAAAAAACUGAAACUCACCAGAGAUGCCGAUGACAUCCAUGUCAGGGAAAUCAGUUUGAAGGAAAUCCAAAACGUUUUGCACUCCCUUGGAAACCAUGUUCAUCCCCAUAGCAUCACCUGUACUGCAAGUGAAUCUAAUAUACAGAUUCUUUCCAGCAAUUGCACAUUUGAUACCUUGGAGCCUGCCAAAUCUACUUGAUCUGCAACCACCAAAAAGCCAAAAUUUUCAAUAUUAGCUUGAAUUUUAAAUCCAUCAAUAUGGAGUUCUAGAAAUAUCAACACAAACCUGUUGAAAACAACAGACAAGGUCUCGAAAUUAUCAGGGUCCUCCAAAUACAACUUCAAAUCAGCUGCCCUUUUCGCAGUACCGAACCUUACACAUGGAGCUCUAGUCAUACCAUCUUUCAAUAGAACACUUGUAGCUCCACCAGACAAAUGAAUAGCCUUACAGCCCCUAUUAGUGCUAGCCACCAAGCACCCUUCCGUGGUUGCCAUAGGAACCGAGUACUCUCUUCCAUUAACCAACAAAGGCCCGGAAAUUCCAACGGGAAUUUGCACGUAGCCAACCGGCAUCUCACAACACUGCCCCAAAAUCGACUCGUAAUCAAACCCAUCCAAGGGCAAUCCUGAUAACGACUUCCCUGUUAAUCUUUGCAACGCUUCCCGCCUGAUUGCGGCCGCCCUCUUGCAAUCACCCAAUUUCGAUUCCAAGGAAUACGAAGGGGUUGUACCAGCCACUACAGAUUUAAUUAUUUCUUCAUCUUCCUCCGUUAGUACCGUCACAGGCUUUUCAUCGAACACCUUCUGAACGGUCACGAUUGGUGCCGCAGGAGGCAGAGGUGGAAGCGAACAAUCGAGAGCUUGCCCGCAAGGGACCUUACGGGCAUCUUCCUUUGCAAGCAGAACUUCAUCAUCCUCUUCCUCGUCCUCGGCAAUCCAAACGUCAGGCGAUGGUUGGAAAACCAAAGAUUGAACGAAGUCAAUCCCAAAGAAACCCAAAAGGUAAAUAAAGGACGCUAAAAAUGAGAGAAUGGCGAUGAUCUCGGAAAAGGUGACGACAUGGAGAGGUGUGGAGGUACGGAUCUUCUCACGCCAACGGGAAAGAAGAAAAUAAACCACCGAGAAGAAGAGGGUGAAGAACAGGGCAUUCGUUAGGUGCAAGGGAAGCGGCAAUGCGUCGGAGGCUUUACCGUGAUCUUCCUCUAAAGGAAUCUUCUUCGUUGGCUUGAGAGAUUGAACAGGUUUAGUCGAAUACAGCCGGGGAGCCUCCAUAUUGGGUGUCGACGGCGCGGAAGCCCGGCAGUGGAGAAGGAGAAUAGAAGAGGAGUGGAAGUGAGAGAGGAUUUCAGUUAGUUUUACGAUUAUGGUGAAGGUGGAGUUGGAGAUGCUGGAGUUUAGGGAGGGAAGGGGAGUAUUUAUAGGACAGAGAGUAAAGAGUGGUGGAGCGUGAGGAAAAAGGCGCGUGAAGUGAAGUGUUGGGCCCGUGUGAGUGGGGAGUCAAAGAAAGAAUUUGAAGGGCAGUGUUUGCGUGCAGUGCAUGUGCAUGGGGGCGCAUUGCAUUUUCCUUUCGUUUGGUCUUAUCUCCGUUAACUGCUAUUUUGUAUCUCUUUUAAUUAUUCCUUAUUUUGGGCAUUCAUUAAUUAAUAUGAGACCAUAUUUAAACUUUUGAUGAAUGGUAGUGAUAAAUAUAUAUAAUCUCGAAUAUAAAUCGUAAAAUUAACAUUAAAUAAAUAAAUAUAUAUAAUAUAUGUGAUAAAAUUUAUCAUUAGUAAUAUAGAUAAAGAUCACAGUGGAAUUUACUUCUUCGAUAUUUACAUAUUAUUAGUUUUAUAAUUGUUUAUACAAUGUUUAAAAUUAUAUAUAGCUCCUCUUAAAGGAUAAUGCGCACUCACUGAGUUAGGACUCAAUCGAUAACAAUCUUACAAAUUUUAUUUUAUAUAAAAAGAAGAGCUUCCAUUUUUUAUUAAAAAAUUACAGAUACAAUUGUGUUUAUUUUGAACAAAUGAAUUAUUCAUAUGAAUAUACAUUUUAGGGUAAAUAUUUAUAAAAAUUAAUUUUUUAAACUGGUAUGGUGAUUAACUAUUUAUAUUUAGGGUUUUGCACAGUUUUGUAUACGAUGGUGUAUUAAAUCCUGUGAAAAUAUUUCAAUGGAGAAGGGAGAAUUCAGUCUAUGACAUGAAAUUCAAAAUAGGAUGCCUGCUUUAUUAUUAUAAAUAUUGAUUCAUGCCGUCACCAUUAUUAUUUUAAAUCCUCUAAAUGAUUUAUAUAUUUAUAUAAUUUUGGAUAAUUUAAUUUAUCUUUUAAUGGAAAUGUUAAAAAAAUAAACUAUUAAAAUAGUCACUUUUGUUUACCUUAUAUUACAUUUUAGUUGUUGUAACAUUUUAGUCACUGAGCGGUUAAGUGUCAUUAAUAAUAUAAUGGUAAGCUAAUAUGGCAUGUUAAAUCAUCAUUUCAAACAAAAAAUUCAGGUUAAAUUAUACAAUUGGUCCAAUAUUUCUCUGUUUUGAACAAUUUUUUUCUUUAUUUUCCAUUCUCUUUUAUUUCUCUCUUUGUUUUCCUCCCUUUUUCAUUUUUUUAACUUAAUUUUUCUAUGUUUUCUAUUUGUUAAAACUAGUCCCUAUACUUUUAUUUUUUUGAACAUUUUAAAAUUUUUAAUUUUCCUUUUCUUCUUCUCCUUUAGUUUUAACAAAUGAAAAAUAUAGAAAAAUUACAUUAAAAGAGAUAGAAAAGGGAGAAAAACAGAGGAAGAAGUAGAAGAGAAAGAAAAAUAAAGAAAUUAAAAUGCUCAAAACGAAAAUAAUAUGGGGACCAAAUAUAUAAUUUAACCUAAAAUUUUUGUUUGAAAUGAUGAUUUAAUGUGCCACAUCAGCUUACCGUUACAUCGUUAACGGCUCAGUGACUAAAAUGUUACAACACGUUAACAUAAAUGACUAAAAUGUAACAUUUCAAACAUAACUGACUAAAAUAUAAUAAACUAAAGCAAACAAAAAAGUGACUAUUUUGAUUGUUUCCCUUUAAUAAAUGGUUCAUUACAGUAAUAUAUUAAAUUUAUUCUUAUUUUGUAUUAUUUUUCACAUGUGUAAUAUUCUGAUUAUUUUUUAAUGUUUAAUGUACUAACGUUUAAAUUUAUUCCAUCAUAGCCCAAGAAAAAUAAUAAGAAAUAGACGAUAAGAUUGAAGUAAUAUUUUUUCCAAAAUAACAAGCUUGCAUUCAUGCAUGAGAAUUAUUCAUCACCAUGUGCUAAAGACUUGGACUGUUUGUCAAAGUUUUCUUCAGAAAAAUCAUAUAAUUUAUAAUGGAAGUAUAAGCAGAGUCAGACCAACCAAAGAAGAAUCAUGAUAUCAUCUUUUUUUAUUGCCCAGUAUUUAUUUAGCAAAUAUUGACCGUAAUAUUGUCAUGGUCAGACCAUAUUAUUUUUGCACAAGUGACGCACGAAUAUUCAGUGUAGACUUGCUCAAAACAGUAGGAAAUGAUGAACAAGGUCAUUUCGUAGAAAUUGCAGUCAAUGCUCAUAUUUUGGCUUAAUCCAGCUGGAGUUUAGGUAAAAAUUGAUUCAAAAUUGGAUAACUAUAUAUAUAAUAUUGAUAUCAUAAAUAAGUUAUUUUAAUCCAAGUCAGUUCAAUCCAUGAAUACCUUUAAUAUGUAUACAUGAUAUGAUAUGUGAAAAAUGAGCUCAACUCAUGAAUAUUUCUCAUAUGUAUGCAUGCUUGAUGCAUGAUAUGUGGAAAAUAACUUAACUUGUUGUAUAGGUUUUGUACGGAGUAUGGACGGCAUUUAUAAGUUCAUUUUUGGAACUUGUAUUUUAGAGUGCAGUUGAGAACGUAAAUAAGUUUGUUGAAGUUUUCAGGGGGAGAAUUUAGAGGUGAGUAAUCUAGAUCUUUUGGUACAAAGUGAGGUUGCUCUAGCAGGAUGUGAUAAGACUUGAAUCAUUUGGUGUAUUGGGUUAAAAGAUAGUGGAUUUACUUACUAAGUUAGGCUUCACAAAUAAAGUAAAACUAAACUACGUAAACAACCUUUUGUGUUCUUGUUUUGUUGUUUUUGUCACAAUGCUACCUUCAAUUGGCAUAUCGCAAUUGAAGAAGCAAAAGUUUGUCUGGAAGAAGAAAGAUCCUAAGUGCUUGAUGUACAGUGUUUCGGUAAUGGUUGCUUUCAUCACAUGAUAGGUAAUCAUGCAUACUUUUCUAAUUUUGGAGAUCAUCAUAAGGGUCUAGUCACAUUUGGUGAUGGUAAGAAAUGUCAUAUCCAUGGAAACGGAACACUUAAUGUCCUUGGAAUGCUAAAGUUGAAGAAUGUGUUGAAAGGUCAUAUUGUUAAUGACUUGAAAGCUAAUUUGGUGAGCAUUAUCUAAAUGUGUGACUAAGGCAUGAUUAUCAAUUUCACCAAAGACAAGUAUCUGGUUUCAUCAAAGUCUUAUGAGAAGACUAAUGUUUCUAACUUAGAGUUGUGGCAUGAGAAACUUAGCCACAAUCAUUACAAAGGGCUCCGAAGAUUGGUUUGAUAUGUUGCUGGAAUAGGCAACCCAAAACUAGGUGGUGUCAUUCCUAAAGUCCGUUAUGGAUGCUUGAAAGUUAGAGAGGAUCACAUGGAGAAUCAUCAAAGGUUGUCACAUAUCCAAAUUAUUGCAUCUCUCAAGUUACUACACAUAGAUCUCAUUGGACCUAUGUGAAUCGAGAGCAUUGGAGUAAACCGUUAUGUCCUAGUCUAUGUAGAGGACUUUUCAAGGUACACAUGGGUGAGAUUUUUUAGAGAAUUCUAACACAUCUAAAGAAUUCAGGAAACUAUGCAGAAGAUUUUGUCAAUUUUUAUGACGAGGAAAUGAUCAAACUAAGGCACCGCAAUAUAAUGGAGUUAUGGGACACAAGAACCGUACCAUAUAGGAGAUGGCAUGAGUGUUGCUUAACAACAAAAGAGUUACUCAUAAGUUUUAAGUUGAGGCAGUGAACAUUGCAACCUAUAUCUUUAACAAAGUUCUUACUAGGCGAAAAACUCACAUGACACUUUGUAAGAUGUGAAAUGGGAGGAAGCCAAAUGUCAAGUAUUUCCAUGUGUUUAGAAGUACCUUGAUAGGUGUCGAAUCCACCAAAAAUGAAAUCCUACCCCUAAACAGGAUAUAAAUUAGAAGUUUAAGGAGUAAGGUCGAUCCCACAAGGACUAAUUUAUAUGAACUUGUAGUUUGUUAUAACCAGGACGUAUCGUAAGCAGUUUUGUGCCCAUGAUUUAUGCUAACCUAUACGAAAUAGAAAGAAGGAUUAAAUAUGAAUGUAACUAAAUGUCAAAAAUUAAAUAAUAAUAAUGCAAUAGAAAUAAUCAAAUCAGAAUUAAAAUUGAAUAACCUAAUAAGAUGGAUUUUGACUCUGGCUUUGGAUUGAUCCCAAACAAUGGAUUUUUUCCUCCAAUUGAUAAGUCGGGUAUAGUGACCAAGGAACAACCUCAAAUACCAACCCUUUCGUAUGUAAAUUAACUGCGGGAACAACUCUAAGUUAACCCGUACCAGGUAAAUAACACUGAAAGCAACUUCCAUGAUUUCAUUCCUUGACAACCUCGCGAACUAGAGGGACUCAGCUCAAAUUGACAGCCUCAAUUGCAUGGGUCCACACGCCUACUACCUUUUCCAUCUUUGAUUUUCCAAGUUCUUUUGAAGCAAAAUCCAAGGUUUGUUUGAGCCACAGAGCAUCUUGAAAGAGAAGUUGCUAAGUUGAAAUUCUCUCCAAAAUGGCUCGAGGGAAAACAUGAAUCAAUAGCCCCAACUGAUCUAACUGAAGGAGAAGAAAAAGUUGAAUCUGACCUUGAAACUGUAGCAAUUGCUCCUAUAGUGACUAUUUCAGCAGGUCUUGUGAGCAACCUAGCAGGAUUCAAUCAAAGGAUGGUUAGCAUUUUACUGCUUCUAUUGACUCUCAAAAUUGAUUCAUCUCCAAACUUCGAACUGAAAUCCAAGUCAUUCAACAGAUUCGAGAUCAAGAAAUUGCUUUCCGCAAUGAUUUAUUAACUCAUUCCGAACAAUAAUGUUUGACAUAUUUUUAAAAAAAAGGGAAGUAAAGAGGAAGGAGAUGAUGGCUAAGAUGGUGGCAAGUUGAUUGCUCCUACUAAUGGGAGUUUAUUUUACUUUUGGUUAUUACAAGCUUCAUUUCAUUUUGGGUAUUUCUUUUGAAAUAUUUGUAAUGAUGAACUUUUCUAAUGGAUGGAUGGAUUUUAUUUUGGCGUACAAACUCUUAUCUUCAUCUUACUUAGAUAUAAUUUUAGUAUUUAGAUUGUUGAUACAAAUACUUAAAAGGCAUUAAUGGUUGAUUUACUUGAUUAUGUUUUAAGUUAAGUGUGACGGAUAAGGGGAUUGUACUAAGGGGAAGCAUUUUUUGUUACUGUUGAUAAGCUUCCUAAUUUGAAUUGGUUUUGUUCAAAAAAUUGUAGAAGCAAGUUUCAAAAGUGGCCAGCAAAGUGCCAACGGUAGUGGCCACUAUAGAUAGCAUUGCAAUAGACUCUAUUACUAGCCAUGUUUAGAGUUAGCUUGAAAACGAUGAUGAUAUUAUGAAAAUAUGAAAGUCCAUAUUAUAUUAGUUUUUAUUAUUUAUUGCAUUUUGCUAGUUUAGCUGGUGACACGUUCAAUAAAUAUAAUUUUAAAGGUAUUUUUGUUUUUUUAACUGCAAACUGUUUGGGCAAUAAAUUUAUUUCAAAAGUUGCUUUCAAAUGCUUUAAAAGUUACGGUGUAGUUUACACUAUUCUCAGGUUACAUGGCCUGAAUUUGUCUUUAAAAGAAAGGAAAGAACAAAAUACAAAAUGAAUAAAGAAAAAUCUUUCUGUUCUGUAUAAUCUAUCUACUCCCAUUUACCCGUAGGGUGGCGUUCUUCCGUUCAAUUUCAAUGGCAUUGAUAGAGGGCAGCUUCCACAAGAUGAGUUUAAUCAUCGCCAACUAAUCGUGAAUAACCAAUAUUAAUAAAUAAUCUCCAUUCUUCUCAACCGCCAUAACUGCUCCAUCAACCUGCUAUGUCGGGUGAAAUGGGAACGUACACCUGAGCUACACAAAGGGAUAUAUCUCCUUAGUAAGUUUCUACCAUGGGAGAUUGCCACUUUACCCCCAAAUAUAAGGCCAUCAUUACGUUUUCUCUAUGAAGAAGCCUUGGACACAUCCUUACUUGACCUAUUGUACUUCAUAUGGCUCUUGACUAGUUGCCCUGCUGCAAGUGCUGACAUGAGUGACAGCUCCCCGGCAAGGACAGCACCUGCUACAAUGGUUGCCAGCAUUCUAGAGUUUGCUCCUGGUGUCUCUUUGCUUGCACCCUUCACUCCAAGUAAGUUCAAACAGGCUGACUGAGAUGCAAGCUGUGUUCCACCACCAACGGUACCAACCUAAAAGAUACAGCAACAGAUAUAAUUAGGGGGAUUCAUAAAUACCCAGAUUCUGUUUUGGUAAUGAAAAUCCUUGUGAUGGAUAAUCAGACAGCAACAUAAUCAAUUACCUCGAUGGAAGGCAUUGUGACAGAGAUGUGGAGGUCCUUGCCCUCGUUAACAGCUUCCAUCAUAGUGAUGCAAUGAGAGCUCUCAACAUUUUGAGCCGGAUCUUGGCCCGUAGCUAUGUAGAUUGCAGUGACGAUGUUACUGGCGUGAGCAUUGAAUCCACCCAGAGCUCCAGCCAUAGCUGAUCCAGUAAGGUUCUUGAGCAUGUUAAGCUCAACGAGAGAUUCCACACUUGUCUUCAAGACCUUCCUAACCACAUCACCCUUAAUGAUGGCUUCGCAAACAACAGAUUUGCCUCGUCCUUCAAUCCAAUUUACAGCCGCUGGUUUUUUGUCGGAACAAAAGUUUCCUAUAUGGACAAAUUCAUAAAUUUCAGUAAUCCUAUAUAGAACAGUAAAAACAUAGAACACAAUUACAAGUCUAUGGAAAAGUGAAACUCACCAGAGAUGCCAAUGACAUCCAUGUCAGGGAAAUCAGUUUGAAGGAAAUCCAAAACAUUUUGGACUCCCUUGGAAACCAUGUUCAUCCCCAUAGCAUCACCUGUACUGCAAGUGAAUCUAAUAUACAGAUUCUUUCCAGCAAUUGCACAUUUGAUACCUUGGAGCCUGCCAAACCUACUUGAUCUGCAACCACCAAAAAGUCAAAAUUUUCAAUAUUAGCUUGAAUUUUAAAUCCUUCAAUAUGGAGUUCUAGAAAUAUCAACACAAACCUGUUGAAAACAACAGACAAGGUCUCGAAAUUAUCAGGGUCCUCCAAAUACAACUUCAAAUCAGCUGCCCUUUUCGCAGUACCGAACCUUACACAUGGAGCUCUUGUCAUACCAUCUUUCAAUAGAACACUUGUAGCUCCACCAGACAAAUGAAUAGCCUUACAGCCCCUAUUAGUGCUAGCCACCAAGCACCCUUCCGUGGUUGCCAUAGGAACCGAGUACUCUCUUCCAUUAACCAACAAAGGCCCGGAAAUUCCAACGGGAAUUUGCACGUAGCCAACCGGCAUCUCACAACACUGCCCUAAAAUCGACUCGUAAUCAAACCCAUCCAAGGGCAAUCCAGAUAACGACUUCCCUGUUAAUCUUUGCAACGCUUCCCGCCUGAUUGCGGCCGCCCUCUUGCAAUCACCCAAUUUCGAUUCCAAGGAAUACGAAGGGGUUGUACCAGCCACUACAGAUUUAAUUAUUUCUUCAUCUUCCUCCGUUAGUACCGUCACAGGCUUUUCAUCGAACACCUUCUGAACGGUCACGAUUGGUGCCGCAGGAGGCAGAGGUGGAAGCGAACAAUCGAGAGCUUGCCCGCAAGGGACCUUACGGGCAUCUUCCUUUGCAAGCAGAACUUCAUCAUCCUCUUCCUCGUCCUCGGCAAUCCAAACGUCAGGCGAUGGUUGGAAAACCAAAGAUUGAACGAAGUCAAUCCCAAAGAAACCCAAAAGGUAAAUAAAGGACGCUAAAAAUGAGAGAAUGGCGAUGAUCUCGGAAAAGGUGACGACAUGGAGAGGUGUGGAGGUACGGAUCUUCUCACGCCAACGGGAAAGAAGAAAAUAAACCACCGAGAAGAAGAGGGUGAAGAACAGGGCAUUCGUUAGGUGCAAGGGAAGCGGCAAUGCGUCGGAGGCUUUACCGUGAUCUUCCUCUAAAGGAAUCUUCUUCGAUGGCUUGAGAGAUUGAACAGGUUUAGUCGAAUACAGCCGAGGAGCCUCCAUAUUAGGUGUCGACGGCGGCAGAAGCCCGGCAGUGGAGAAGAAGAAUAGAAGAGGAAUGGAAGUGAGAGAGGAUUUCAGUUAGUUUUACGAUUAUGGGGGAAGGUGGAGUUUGAGAUGCUGGAGUUUAGGGAGGGAAGGGGAGUAUUUAUAGGAUAGAGAGUAAAGUGUAGAGAGAGCGUGAGGAAAAAGGCGCGUGAAUUGAAGUGUUUGGCACUUGUUAGUGCGGAGCUUUACCAAGUGAAGAGUCAAUGGAAGAAUUUCAAGGGAUGUGUUUGGAAGCGUGCGUGCGUGCGUGCAGUGCAUGUGCAUGGUGGGGCAUUGCAUAAUCCUUUCAUUUGUUCUUUUCUCCUGCCACAUUUGGAGAAAAUGCUGAUUUUAAAAAAAUAUUCAGGAAAAUAUUUUUUUUCCAAUAUUUAAAAAAAUAAGUUGAUUUUGAAAAAAAUAAUAAAGCAUAUUUUGCAGAAAUUGUUUUUUUGCUGAAAAAGCUCGUAGGAUUAGUUUCUACUUUUUUAAUACAUUAGCUCAUUUGGUUAGAUGAUUAAAUGUUAAUUAUUUUGUCUUUUAAGUCUCGAGUUUGAUUCUUCUCUUACUCACAUUUGUAUUCUUAUUUCAAGUCGUUUCAAGCUUUGCUUUUAUUUUUAAUUAUGGUUUUUAACACAUUAACUCCUUUUGUUAGAUUGUUAAAUAAUAGUGAUUUUUUUUGUGAAAGAAAGGAAACAAUACAAGCUAAAUCCUCAAAGGACGGUCCACAAACAAUCUUAAGCCUAGACUUCUAAUGCAAACAAUCUUGGCUAGGCUAUCCGCAAUUAGAUUAUUUCCCUUGGGAACAUGCUGAAUUUUCCACUGCUCUAGCUUUUUAAGCGUCUGAUGAAUUCUCCUAAUAAUGGUAGAAUUGGAGAUACCCGUAUCAUCUUCCAUGAUAUCUUUAAUAGCUUCAAUACUAUCAGUUUGAAUAAGGACAUUUUGGAAACACCUAUCUGCCAUAAGAUUCAGCCCAUCCAAAAACCCCCAGAGCUCUGCCUCCAACACUGAACAAUUACCCAAAUAUCUCGCGAACCCUAUAAUUCACUCUCCCUUGUAAUCUCUCACGCAACCUUCCGCAGCUGCAAAGCCCUCGUUAAUCCUAACUGAACCAUCAGUGUUCAAAUAAACCCAACUGUAGGAGAUAUGGCAAUUAGGUAGAGUUCUUUGGGCUUCAAACUUUGAGAUCGAGGAAACAGAGGAAUACUAUUUAACCCAACUAAACUAGAUUUUAAUAAUUUCCUCAACACUCCACGAAAUUCUUUGGAAAACAAAUAUGUUGCGACUCUUCCAAAUACGCCACGUAAUAAUUCCAAAAAGGUAGGACCAAUCGAUUUCCCCUGUCGAAGAAGUCAACUGGUUCUGCAAAUUAGUCGCCGUCCAAUCAAAUAAAGAGCCUGAGUAAAAACUAGAAAAAGCUUGUUGAGGAAUGAUUUUAUCCCAAACUCCUUUGGCUGCAGGAUAAUCUCGGAGUAUAUGCAUCACAUCCUCCAAAACAUGACUACAAAUACUGCAAGUGUUGUUACUCCCACAACCUCGUCUUACUCUUUCAACAUUUGUAAGCAGCUUUUGCUUUAAGACAAGCCAAAUAAAGAAGCGGAUCCGAUAAGGGCCUUUAAAUUUCCAAGGUAUCCUCCAAAACGCUUCCUUGGGAUUCAAAGUGUCUUCACAAUGGGAUUCAAAGUGUCUUCACAAACCUUCCUAUAUGCACUCUUGAGAGAGAGAAGGUGUCAGUCGAGGUGGCUCCCCAAAUAAGUCCUAGCUUCGAUUUCUCUUUUAAGCAUAUUUGUAUUUUUUUUUCACAUUGUUUCAAAUUUUUCUUAAUUCAUCUUUUUAAUUAAUAAUUCUUUUAUUUAUAAAAUUAAAUAAUUAUUUUAAAUUAUCUAAUAAAAAAUAUAUUCUGAUAAAAAUGAUAUUUUUCAUUAUGUUAAAUAUAAUUUAUUUUUUAAAACAUCAACUUUUUGUUAUAUUUUUCUUUAUGUAAAAUAUAUAGGUUCUCCAUGUGGAUAUGGUGAUUUCUAAUAUUAUAAAAUCAAAUAAUUAUUUCAAAUAUCAUUAUUAUUUUUAUACGUAAAAUAUUUUAAAUAUCAUUAUUUUUUCAUGUACAUUGUAGGUAUGAUAUUUCAAAUAUUUUUAUACAUGAAAUAUUUCAAUUAAUUAUUUGAAAUUACAUUAUGUUUAUAUGUGAAAUAUUUCAAUUAAUCAUUUCAAAUUACAUUAUGUUUAUAUGUGAAAUAUUUCAAUUAAUUAUUUCAAAUUACAUUAUGUUUAUAUGUUAAAUAUUUCAAAAAGACGUACAAAAAUAUAUAAUACUAAAAUUUAAUACGUUCAUGAUAUGGAUUGAAAAUAAAAUUACACAUAAUAUUUAUAUUUAUUAAAGAUAAUGAUAUUUGAAAAUGAUUAUUUUAUUUUUAAAUAAAAUAAUUAUUAAUUAAAAAGAUAAAAAAAACUUGAAAACAAUAUAUUUAUUAAUUAAAAAAUUUAAAAGAAAACUUGAAACAACAUGAAAUAAAAAAAAGUACAAAUUUGCUUAGAAUAGGAAUCAAACCUAGGACUCAAUGAUAAAAUCACUAUUAUUUAACCAUAUAACCAAAGAAAUUAAUGUGAGUAGGAGAAGAAUCUAACCCGAGACUCAAGGACAAAACCAUUAAUAUUUAACUAUCUGACUAAAGGAAUUGAUAUAUUAAAAGAGUUAGAAAACACGCACUAUAAAAUGCAUUAUUUUAUUUGUCUCUCCAAAUUUAAAACCUUCUAUCAGUCAGCUGCUAUUUUGAUGUUUUCUGUCACUUAUUUAGCAUUAUUCUGCCUUUUACUUAUUCCUAAUUUUGGGUUGUUUUUCAUUAAUUAAUUAAUUAAUUAGAGAUCAUAUUAUGAAUGUAUUUAAUAUUUAUGGAAGUAAUGUUAAAAAGAAAUCUGGAGGUUUUUCUUUUUGCUCAUGAUUAAUUGGAUAAGUUUACAUUUUUACAAAAAAAAAAUAUUAAGACAAAGUCAGAGUGAAAAAAUAAUUAAGCAAGAAAAAUUCAGAAAAAUAAAUUGAUUCUUCAAUUAAAAAAAUGUAAAGCUUUAUUUGUUUUAUUAUUGAAAAAAAAAGGUCAUUCCCAAUUACUAUCAUUAAUAGUCAAAUUAUUAUUAUUUUUUUUGCAUGUUUAUUUCAUGUUAUAUUUUAACAAAAUAAAAGAAAUAUAUACUUUUUUUUAUAAAGAUUUAUUAAAUUACAGUCCAAAUUUGACAUUUAUAAUAUUAAAUAAAAUCUAAUCCACAUUUGACUCCUUAAUUAUCACGUUUCUUCCUUCCUUAAUUUUCAGUCAGUGAAUCACAUUAAAUUCAAAAUAGGAUGCAUAAUUAUUUAUUAUAUAUACAAGUGAUUGCAUAUAAUAUUAGUUCAUGCAGUCACCAGUAGUUGAAUAUUAACAUUUACAACUAUUUCCCGAGAAAAUGUAUGUGUUUUGUAUUAUAUAUAUAAGUUGGUAAUGCUGAUUGAGAAAAGACUUUUAAGAGGCUUUAAUAUCAUUGAGUUAUUAAGGUUAAGCCACUUGCUCGACUUAGUUUGUGUUUACUACAUGUAUUGUGUGUUUGGCUGUUGCAGAGUAUCCUCAGUGGAGGAGAAAAAUCAUCUGCUAUUUUUUAAAAUUCAUAUUACUAUUUUACUAUUUUACCUUUUUAAAGUAGAUCAUUUUUAUUUUUUUUAGUGUUUAAUGUACCUAGACGAUAAGAUUGAAGUAAUUUCUUUUUCCAAAAUAAUAAGCAUGCAUGAGAAUUGUUCAUCGCCAUGUGCUAAAGACUUGGACUGUUUGUCAAAGUUCUCUUCAAAGAAAUCAUAUAACUCACAAUGAAAGUUUAUAUAUAUAUAUAUAUAUAUAAUAUAAGNNNNNNNNNNNNNNNNNNNNNNNNNNNNNNNNNNNNNNNNNNNNNNNNNNNNNNNNNNNNNNNNNNNNNNNNNNNNNNNNNNNNNNNNNNNNNNNNNNNNAAAUUGGUAUCUCGUUAAACGCGCGUUGUCUUGCUUUUCAAAAAUACAAGUUCAAUUUAAUAGUUAAUCGCGAUCCGAUCAAAAUACAAAUUUUUUUUAAACACGAAGAUUUUUGAAACAAUUUUUUGAAAAUACGAUUUUUUUUAAAAACACGAGAAUUUUAGAGACACGAAAAUUCUUAAAAACACGAAUAUUUUUGAAAACACGACAAAUUUUUGAAAACAAUAUUUUUUUGAAACGCGAAAAUUUUUGAAACACGAGAAUUUUUUAGAAAACAGGAAAAAAAUAAUUUUUUUUGAUCAUCGGAAUUUUUGAGAACACGAAAAUUUUUGAAACACCGGGAUUUUUGAAAACACGAGGAUUUUUGAAACACGAAAAUUUUAAAAACACGAAAAUUUUUAAACAGGGGAAUUUUUUCGAAAACACGAAAUUUUUUGAAUAUUUACAAUUUUUAAAAGGACGUAUCGUAUUUAACAUAAACCGGUGAUAUUCACCCAACAUAGCGAUGAAAUCAUCGAUUUAAUGUUAAAUCGAUUCGUUGCCUUAUUUAUUAAAAUUAAAUUAAAUUAAAUUAAAAACAUAAAUACAAAAAAUAUAAAAGUGCAUAAAAAUACCAAUAAUAUUAAAACGAAAUGACAUAAAAAUACAUGCAUUAAAUUAAAAAUGAAAUAAAUAAAAUUACCGAAAAUGUCUGAAAUACGAGCUUCGCCGAACGGGUUACACAAAUUAAAACCCGUUUUUUCUUUUUUUCUUCUUUUAUCUUCCUUUUUCCUCUCUUUUUCUUUUUUUUUCUGGACUGGGCUGGCCUGUUGGGCUGCUGCUAGGCCUGGGGGCUGCUGCUGCACUGGGCCUGGGGGCCUGCUGCUGCGCUGGGCCUGCAUUUGGGCUGCUUCUUUCUUUUUCUUUUUUUCUGCUUCUUUCUUUCUUUCUUUUUUCUGCUGCUUCUUUUUCUGUUUUGGUUUUUUUUUUUGGGCUGGCCUGCUACUGCUGUUGGGUUGUUGGGUGCUGUGGGUCGGGUCAAUUUUGCGGGUCGGGUCGGCCCGAUUUAAAAUAAUUUUUUUCUUUUUUUCUUUUUUUCUUCUUUCUUCUUCCUCUUUUUUUCUUCUUUCUUUCUUCUUCUUUCUUUCUCUUUUUCUUCCUUUCUUUCUUCCCCGAUCAGGCCCCCCUUCGGGUUGCUUUCGUCGACGGCGACCUACUUCCCACCGACGGCCGACGGUGGCGCUCACGGUGGUCUUCCCUUUCCCCUUUUUUCUCUUUUUCUUUCUUUUUUUUUUCUUUUUGCUUGCUUUGCUUUUUUUUCUUUUUUUCUUGCCUCUUGGUUGUCUUGCUAGGUAUCGGGGCGGCGCGAGUGCGGUGGCGGAUGCGGUGGCGCGGACACGACGGCGGUGGUGCCCCUUUUUGCUGUUGUUUUUGCUCUCCUUUUUUUUUUGCUCAAAAUUUGUUUUUUUUUUUCCUUUGCUUCCUUGCUUCCCCCUUUUUCUUCCUUGCUUUGGGGGUUUUAAAACCCAUUUUAUUUUGAUGUUCUCUUCUUUUUUUGCAGGUUGCAGGUGGGCUAGGGAGGGCUUAGGUCGGCCGCCGCGCGUUGCAGGUGCAACUUGUGUCAGUGGCAGCCAGAGGGACCAAAAUGUAGUGGCAGCAAAACUUUUGGGGCCGAAACAUAAUUUUGAGAAAGUUCAAGGGUCCAAAUGUAAUUUUAAGAAAGUUUAAGGGUCAAAAUGUAAUUUAGAAAAGUUUAGGGGUUGAACUGUAAUUUUGAGAAAGUUUAGGGGUUAAAAUGCAAUUUUAAAAAAGUUUAGGGGUCAAAAUGCAAAAAAAUUAAAAAAUUUAAUUUUAAUUUUUUUUAACGAAAGUUAUUCCCGGACAAAAUUCAGUGAUUACAGCUGCCCCUCUUUGCUCAUCGCUGUGAAACAGGGAUAGAGCAAAGACUUAAAAGCACUGAAUUUUGUUCGAUCAUCCAAAAUUUUUCUUUUUAUUUGAAAAGCAGAAAUCGAGAAUAGCUCAGCGUGAAACCCGAGGCCCAACUCACCUCUAGCAAUAUGAGUUGAUUUUUUUGAAAAGCAAGAAUUGAAAAAUACCUCGACGUGACUCGAGGCUCAACUCACCUCUCGCAAUAUGAGUUGAUUUUGGAAAAAUAGAAAUUGAAAAACACCUCGACGUGACUCGAGGCUCAACUCACCUCUGGCAAUAUAAGUUGAUUUUUGAAAAACAGAAAUUUAAAAUACCUCAGCGAGAGACCCGAGGCUCAACUCACCUCUCGUAAUAUGAGUUGAUUUUUUGAAAAAAUAGAAAUUAAAAAAAAUACCUCAGCGUGACUCGAGGCUCAACUCACCUCUGUAUUAUGAGUUGAUUUUUUGAAAAAAGCAGAAAUUAAAAAAAUACCUCAGCGUGACCCGAGGCUCAACUCACCUCUGUAUUAUGAGUUGAUUUUUUGAAAAAGCAGAAAUUUAAAAAAUACCUCAGCGUGACCCGAGGCUCAACUCACCUCUGUAUUAUGAGUUGAUUUUUUGAAAAAAGCAGAAAUUAAAAAAAAUACCUCAGCGUGACCCAAGGCUCAACUCACCUCUGUAUUAUGAGUUGAUUUUUUGAAAAAAGCAGAAAUUUAAAAAAUAACUCAGCGUAACCCGAGGCUCAACUCACCUUUGUAUUAUGAGUUGAUUUUUUGAAAAAAGCAGAAAUUAAAAAAAAUACCUCAGCGUGACCCGAGGCUCAACUCACCUCUGUAUUAUGAGUUGAUUUUUUGAAAAAAAAAUAGAAUUUUAAAAAAUAUUUCUUGAAAGAAACAGGGUUUCAAAAAACAUCUGGUAAAGCUAAAAGCCUUCUUCUUCAUUGAUUCUGUGCAGUUUUCUCCCAGUAUUCCUUGCUCUACUGGUAUACCUGUAUAUGUUAUUUAUGAUGUUAUUAUGAUAUGCACAUGUUUGUCCUAAAUGCUUUUGUGUCUACAUGAUCAUGCAAUGCACCCUGGGCUAUUUGUCACGUGCCCCACUUUUGAUUUUUGUGAGGGUCCGCAUUUAUUUCCUCAAUUCUUGACUUUUCUCUCCAGUUUUGUACUCAUCCUCAAGUUUGGUGAGUAACCCACAUUUCUUCGUAUAUCACCCUCUUGCCCCCUGUUGAACUUUUUCUUGCUUUAGGGUCCUUGUAUUUAUCAAGUUCUCAUCCAGGUAAUGCUCAACAUUCCCUUUGUUUAGAGUAUGUCAUCUUACUAUUUAUCAUUUAAAUGAAUCAAACACGAGAUGCAUACAAAAGACAAAGUAGGCAUGAAAGAAAUACCUCACAUUCAUUUUUUUAAAAGCAACAAUCGAAGGAAAUUGAUAAGGAAAGUUUAACAAAUAAAUUGUCAUAAAGAAAAGAAAGCGAGUUCAAUGGCCAGAAAUGCUCUAGAUAUCCAAUGCAUGAACUUUCCAAGUUUCUUCAUCCUGGAUCUUUUCGAGCACGGCUUCUUGUGUAGAAGAUUUUGAGCUUCUGAGAAUGCUUCAAAUAUUGUAACCUCGCCAUUCGACUCUCCGUUCAAGCCAAUUGGCUUCUUCAAGCCCGAGCCCACUUUAUUAGGACGCCCUUUUGGGUUUUCAUCCUAAUCCUUUUGUUUAUCAAGACGCCCUUUUCGGGUUUUCAUCUUGAUUUUUCUUUUUUUGUUUUGUUUUUGUUUUGUUCCUUUGUUUUGUUAUUUUUUUGUUUUUUUUUUGUCUCUCUUUUUUUUAGGCAUAAUAUUUCUUCACAGAAUCUGAGUUCACUGGAUUAGGUAAUUCUUUCCCGUCCAUCUCAGUGAAAAUCAGAGCCCCUCCUGAGAAUGCCCUUUUUACAACGUAUGGCCCUUCCCAAUUUGGUGACCAUUUUCCUCGAAAGUCCUUCUGAAUCGAGAGAAUCUUUCUCAGUAUGAGCUCUCAUUCGCAAAAUUCUCUUGGCCGCACCUUUUUAUCAUGGGCCGUAAUCAUUCUCUUCUGGUACAUAUGUCCAUGACAAAUUGCCUUCAAGCGUUUCCCUUUAAUAAGGUUUAGCUGAUCAUAUCGAGCUCGAACCCACUCUGAUUCCUCUAACCUUGUCUCCAUCAAGACGCGCAGGGAUGGGAUCUCUACUUCGAUAGGCAAAACGGCUUUCAUUCCAUAGACCAGAGAAAAAGGAGUUGCCCCUGUAGACAUCCGUACAGAGGUGCGAUAUACGUACAAAGCGAAUGGUAGCUUCUCGUGCCAGUCUUUAUAUGUCUCAGUCAUCUUCCCGAGAAUCCUCUUAAUGUUCUUAUUAGCCGUUUUUACUGCUUCGUUCAUCUUUGGGCGAUAGGGCGAAGAAUUAUGAUGCUUUAUCUGAAAUUGCUCACAUACUUCUUUCAUCAUCUUGUUGUUCAAAUUUAAAGCAUUAUCUGAAAUGAUUCUUUCAGGCAGACCAUAUCGACAUAUGAUCUCAUUUUUUAAGAACCUACAGACCGCAGCCUUUGUCACAUUAGCAAAUGAAGUGGCUUCUACCCAUUUUGUGAUGUAGUCUAUAACCACAAAGAUGAAUCGAUGUCCAUUGGAAGCUUUCGGGGAAAUUGGCCAUAUAACAUCCAUGCCCCACAUAGAAAAAGGCCACGGAGAAGUAAUGACAUGAAGGGGCGAUGGAGCUGCAUGAAUUUUAUCACCAUAAAUUUGACAUUUGUGGCACUUUCGUGUUUAGCCAAUGCAAUCGCUUUCCAUCGUCAGUCAGUAAUAACCAAGUCUCAUAAUCUGCCUGGCCAUAGUGAAACCACUGGCAUGCAUUCCAAAAAUUUCUUCAUGAACCUCUUCAAGUAUCUUUCUAGCUUCAACAGCGUCCACGCACCUAAUGAGCACUUGAUCUUUUCCUUUUUUGUAUAGAAUAUCCCCAUCAAGAAUAAAUCCAACCGUUAUUAUUCUGAUUGUUCUGUUGUCAUUCUCGUUUGCCUGCUCGGGGUACCUUUGAUUCUUGAUAUACUCCAAGAUAUCAUGGAACCAUGGUCGUCCAUCUGACUCCUCCUCAAUACUAAAACAGUGUUCGAGGGUCUCAUAUAUACUCAUUUGGAUGGGCAUUAUCUCAGUUUCUCUGUUUGCUUUGAACAUCGAAGCCAAGGUGGCUAGGGCAUCAGCCAAUUGGUUCUCCUCUCGUGGAAAGUAGUUAAAAGUCACUUCUUUGAAUUCUUUGACCAAUUUCGCAACAAGAUCGUGGUACUUGACUAAUUUUGGAUCUCUCACUUCCCAAUCCCCACGAAUUUGAUAAAUGACUAAUGCUGAGUCCCCGUGCACUUCUAAGAUUUUGAUUUUCCUCUCGAUAGCUGCACGAAGCCCUAUGAUGCAAGCUUCAUAUUCCGCUAUAUUAUUGGUACAGAAGAAGUUCAAUCUGGCAGUGAGCGGGUAAUGAUCUCCCUCCGGCGAUACUAAGACUGCUCCAAUCCCAUGCCCCAAUACAUUUGAUGCACCAUCAAAGCUCAUUUUCCAUGAUUUCUCUCUUGAUGACUCACCCUCUUUUUCUGAAAUGCAAAUCAAGUCUUCAUCUGGGAAAUCAAAUCUCAAAGGCUCGUAUUCUUCCGCUGUUCGACUUGCCAAGAAGUCAGCUAUCGCACUUCCCUUUAUCGAUUUUUGGCUCAUAUACACGAUGUCAUACUCAGUCAGUAAGAUCUGCCAUCGUGCUAUUCUUCCUGAGAGUGCAGGUGACUCCAUCAUGUACUUUAUUGGAUCCAGUUUUGAAAUUAACCACGUCGUAUGAUAUAACAUGUAUUGUCUGAGCCUUCGAACCGUUCAAAUCAAUGCGCGACAAAACUUCUCAAUUGAAGGGUACUUUACCUCAUAUUCUGUGAACAUUUUGUUGAGGUAGUAAAUCACUUUUUCUCUUUUCCCCGACUCAUCAUGUUGUCCCAGUACGCAACCCAUUGAAUUCUCAAACACGGUCUGGUACAAUAUUAAGGGUUUUCCAGGGGUUGGCGGUACUAGUACCGGAGGAUUAGAUAGAUACUGUUUUAUCUUGUCGAAAGCCACUUGACAUUCCUCGUUCCAUUCUCCCGGAUUAUGUUUUUGAAGAAGUCAAAAAAUUGGAUCACACUGAUUGGUAAGUUGGGCAACGAAUCGAGCAAUGUAAUUCAACCUUCCUAAAAAUCCUCUGACUUCCUUUUGUGUACGCGGAGGUGGCAGUUCUUGUAUAGCUUUCAUAUUAUCUUGAUCAACUUCGAUACCUCUCUCACUGACAAUAAAACCUGACAGUUUUCCCGAGGUAGCCCCAAACGUACAUUUGGCUGGGUUAAGUUUCAACUGGAACUUUAUUAACCUUUCGAACAGCUUCUUGAGAUUCCCAACAUGCUCUUUUUCUCCCCGGGACUUGACAAUCAUAUCAUCGACGUAAACUUCUAUUUCUUUGUGCAUCAUAUCAUGAAAUAACGUCACCAUGGCUCUCUGAUAUGUUGCCCCAUCAUUCUUUAAUCCGAACGGCAUUACCUUGCAGCAAAAGGUCCCCCACAAUGUUAUGAAUGUAGUUUUCUCCAUGUCCUCGGGAGCCAUCUUUAUCUGAUUAUAACCUGAGAAGCCAUCCAUGAAAGAAAACAGAGAAUGUUUUGCCGUAUUAUCCACCAAAGUGUCGAUGUGUGGUAAAUGAAAGUUAUCCUUAGGGCUUGCUUGAUUCAGAUCACGAUAAUCCACGCACAUUCGCAACUUGCCAUCUUUCUUCGGCACUGGGACUAUAUUAGCUACCCAUUUUGGAUAUUUAGAGACUUGUAGGAAGCCAGCAUCAAUUUGUUUCUUGACUUCUUCUUUUAUCUUUAACAGCAUUUCGGGUCUCAUCCUUCUUAAUUUCUGCCGAACGGGCUUGCAUUCUGGUUUCAGUGGGAGCUUAUGAACCACUACAUCCUCAUUCAACCCUGGCAUGUCCUGAUACGACCAGGCGAAUACAUCUUUGUACUCACGGAGCAAGGCGAUCAAAUUCUGUUUGGUGUUAUCUGAAAUGGAAAUAUCAAUAUUCACUUCUUGUUUCUUUUCUUCACUUCCCAAGUUCACUGUCUCAACAGAUUCUUGAUGGGGUAGAAUCUGUUUCUUUUCUUGUUCAACCAUUCUCAAUAAGUCAGGAGGCAAGACACAAUUUUUAGCAUCUUCCUCGGCUUCAAAUUCUUCUAAACAAACAGCCUUCUCAAAAUCGAUUUCAGGACUUGUAACGGGAUUGUUCAUGCCAUGGAUAUCUGAGCACUUGAAAGGCGGAUAGAAAAGACUGCUAUAAGAGAGCAUCAAAGUAUUGGAAUCAACAAACACAAUGUUAUGGAAUGAGAUAUAUGGAGAGAAAGGAUAUGAAGCGAUGAGGGUAAUUAUGAAACUGAUAGAAAUAAAAAGAUCAUGACAAAAUGCAUCUUCAUUAAUGUUCAUUGAAAUGAUAAAGAGCAAACACAAGCUCUUACAAAAGGAAUCCCACUAUUUAGGGGCACACAAAAUAAAUGGAGAAGUAACAUUGGGCAUUACUCUGGAGAGGACUUAGAAACUACAAGAAGGUCCACAGCAGUCCAAUUGUUCAAAACAUAUCUUGGAAGACAGGGGUGUAUCAUUGAAACAUCCUCAAUUGUAUCACUCUCAUUGAAUUCAACAUUCAUAGCCCUAGCCCUUAAAUGUGUUCUAUAAGAAUGACGUGAUUCCAGACUUGUAGUAUCACAACUGUGGAUUUUGCGGUUCUGGCCUUAGUGAAUGAUUAGGGUGAUAUGUACAUGCAAUGAAUGAAUGAAUGAAUGACCAAUGGAUGCUAGUCAUGCGUAAAUAUGCAAAAAAAAUGGUGUUGAUUUCAAGAUAGCCCCAUAUUUUGGCAUUUCAUUUAUCAAAAGAGUCAAUUACAAAAUAUUUUGCCAACGAAGAUGACCCUAGUUCUUGAGUUUCACUGUUUCCAAAUCCUAGUCAAAUCUUCAGGGUUAUUCUGACGAGCAUUCGAAGUCGUCUUCUCGGAAAGAUCAGAGAUAUAUCUUUCCUUUAAAUUGUCCCUUUUACUUUCUCGGCCCUCAAAGACCAGUCUCUGACUACGACAUUUUUCUUGAUUACCUGUGUAAUUUGACUCCUUCAUCAGAAACCCGUUUUUGGCAACCAAUCUCUAAUCAACACCUUCCUAAUGAGAUAUCUACGAUGCAUGAUGAAAAAUAAAAUGAAGAACAAAUAACAUUGGUUAGAGAUCACAACAGAUAUAAACAGAAGGAAAAUAAAAAAUAAAUACUAUGGAAAAUUUAACAAAUUAAGCUAGUCAAUCAGCAAUUUGGUGGAACAGACCCACAUUUUUUUUUGCCCCAACAUGCUUUACAAAAACCUACCCCACAUACCAUCAGACAAUCUACCCGACCCAAUUUAUUAAAUAGACCCAAUUCAUUUGCAAAUAAGUGUAAAUGUAAAAGAAAUAAAAGGUAAGAGGCGUUUCUCCCGUGUACUUAUUUUGGUAACUAUCAAACGGACAGAGGUUCGGCAUGGCUCUAAUUGGGUGGCUCGUACGGUUCNNNNNNNNNNNNNNNNNNNNNNNNNNNNNNNNNNNNNNNNNNNNNNNNNNNNNNNNNNNNNNNNNNNNNNNNNNNNNNNNNNNNNNNNNNNNNNNNNNNNUCUUCUAAAGAAAUACAUAUAACUACACAAUAGAAGUUAAUAUAUAUAUAUAUAUAUAUAUAUAAGCAUAGUCAGGCCAACCAAUGUAGAAAAAAACUAACAUGAUAUCAUCUUUUCUUAUUGCCCAGUAUUUAUUUAGCAAAUAUUGACUGUAACAUUGUCAUGAUUAUUUUUGGACAAGAACAAGGUCAUUUCCACACAGGUAGAAGUGCAGUCCAUGCUCAUAGCUUACAGAAAAAAAAAAUAUUUCAGUAAAGAUUAUGUAGCGACCUAAAAAUUUGGGGUGAGCGCUAAUCGAAAUGAUUGUUGAAAAUUUGAAGACGGUGUUUCGAUUUUAUUUGAAAAAGGAGUCGCCACCGAUCUUUUUUCCUAGGUGUGAUCGGACACCUAAUAAAUUCUCUUUUAGAAGAAGAAUUUAUUUUUUUAAUUUUUCUAAAAAAGAGGUAAUUUUAGGUCUACGUGAAAAUCCAGAGAAAAUUAGGGUUCGGGAGUCGGUUACACGCGAGGAAGGUAUUAGCACCCUCGCGACGCCCAAAAUUGGUAUCUCGUUAAACGCGCGUUGUCUUGCUUUUCAAAAAUACAAGUUCAAUUUAAUAGUUAAUCGCGAUCCGAUCAAAAUACAAAUUUUUUUUAAACACGAAGAUUUUUGAAACAAUUUUUUGAAAAUACGAUUUUUUUAAAACACGAGAAUUUUAGAGACACGAAAAUUCUUAAAAACACGAAUAUUUUUGAAAACACGACAAAUUUUUGAAAACAAUAUUUUUUUUGAAAACGUCGAAAAAUUUUUUGAAAACACGUAGAACUUUUUUUAGAAAAACUAGGUAAAAAAAACUAAAUUUUUUUUUAGAAUUCAAUUUUUGAGNNNNNNNNNNNNNNNNNNNNNNNNNNNNNNNNNNNNNNNNNNNNNNNNNNNNNNNNNNNNNNNNNNNNNNNNNNNNNNNNNNNNNNNNNNNNNNNNNNNNNNNNNNNNNNNNNNNNUUUGAAUAUUUACAAUUUUUAAAAGGACGUAUCGUAUUUAACAUAAACCGGUGAUAUUCACCCAAUAUAGCGAUGAAAUCAUCGAUUUAAUGUUAAAUCGAUUCGUUGCCUUAUUUAUUAAAAUUAAAUUAAAUUAAAUUAAAAACAUAAAUACAAAAAAUAUAAAAGUGCAUAAAAAUACCAAUAAUAUUAAAACGAAAUGACAUAAAAAUACAUGCAUUAAAUUAAAAAUGAAAUAAAUAAAAUUACCGAAAAUGUCUGAAAUACGAGCUUCGCCGAACGGGUUACACAAAUUAAAACCCGUUUUUUCUUUUUUUCUUCUUUUAUCUUCUUUUUUCCUCUCUUUUUCUUUUUUUUUUCUUGACUGGGCUGGCCUGUUGGGCUGCUGCUAGGCCUGGGGGCUGCUGCUGCACUGGGCCUGGGGGCCUGCUGGGCCUGCUGCUGCGCUGGGCCUGCAUUUGGGCUGCUUCUUUCUUCUUCUUUUUUCUGCUUCUUUCUUUCUUUCUUUUUUCUGCUGCUUCUUUUUCUGUUUUGGUUUUUUUUUUUUGGGGCUGGCCUGCUACUGCUGUUGGGUUGUUGGGUGCUGUGGGUCGAGUCAAUUUUGCGGGUCGGGUCGGCCCGAUUUAAAAUAAUUUUUUUUUUCUUUUUUUCUUCUUUCUUCUUCCUCUUUUCUUCUUUCUUUCUUCUUCUUUCUUUCUCUUUUUCUUCCUUUCUUUCUUCCCCGAUCAGGCCCCCCUUCGGGUUGCUUUCGUCGACGGCGACCUACUUCCCACCGACGGCCGACGGUGGCGCUCACGGUGGUCUUCCCUUUCCCCUUUUUUCUCUUUUUCUUUCUUUUUUUUUUCUUUUUGCUUGCUUUGCUUUUUUUUCUUUUUUUCUUGCCUCUUGGUUGUCUUGCUAGGUAUCGGGGCGGCGCGAGUGCGGUGGCGGAUGCGGUGGCGCGGGCACGACGGCGGUGGUGCCCCUUUUUGCUGUUGUUUUUGCUCUCCUUUUUUUUUGCUCAAAAUUUGUUUUUUUUUUUUUUCCUUUGCUUCCUUGCUUCCCCCCUUUUCUUCCUUGCUUUGGGGGUUUUAAAACCCAUUUUAUUUUGAUGUUCUCUUCUUUUUUUGCAGGUUGCAGGUGGGCUAGGGAGGGCUUAGGUCGGCCGCCGCGCGUUGCAGGUGCAACUUGUGUCAGUGGCAGCCAGAGGGACCAAAAUGUAGUGGCAGCAAAACUUUUGGGGCCGAAACGUAAUUUUGAGAAAGUUCAAGGGUCCAAAUGUAAUGUUAAGAAAGUUUAGGGGUCAAAAUGUAAUUUAGAAAAGUUUAGGGGUUGAACUGUAAUUUUGAGAAAUUUUAGGGGUUAAAAUACAAUUUUAGAAAAGUUUAGGGGUCAAAAUGCAAAAAAAAUUAAAAAAUUUUUAAUUUUAAUUUUUUUUUAACGAAAGUUAUUCCCGGAUAAAAUUCAGUGAUUACAGAUUAAAUAGUUGUAUAUGAUAUUGAUAUCAUAGAUAGAUGAAUCGAUUUAAUUUAAGUCGGUUCAACUUAUAAAUACCUUAAUUUUAUAUAAUAUAUAUGUGUAUUUAUAUUAUUAUUUAAGUUCUUGAUUGGGUUAGCGUCACUCUCAACCGGGUCACCAAAUUUACUAGGAAAAUUAUUGAAAUGUUCUUUCGUAAUUAAAAUAAGUUGUAUUAUUCGAAGGUAUUUUUGCCUUUUUAUUUUUAAAAAGUAAAUAAAAAUAUGUGUAUGGUGGUAUUUGAAUCCAAACUAAUUGGGUUAGAAAAAUAUUUAAUUUAUCACUCAACUAAAACCUUUUAUUUUGAUAUUUUUAUAUAUUUUUUAUUUUAUUAUACACACUUUAUUUUAAUACCGUACAUAUUUCAUGUGUUAUUAUGCUUAAUUAGUUUCAAAUCAUGUGUUUCAUUAUUUAUUAUUUGUUAUUUUUAAACACAUAUUUGUACUCUAAUAUUUAUAAAAUAACAUAAUCCUCGAAAAGGAAACAUGCACUUCUAGGUAAGUUAAGUUUUUACCAAAUGACACAUGUUGAUAAUUGACACUUUAGGUGGUUAUUGAUGGCCUUGUAAAGUCUUUCGAUCUUAACAUUAUACAAACCAAAACCUUAGUAUUGCACAAACAAUUAUUUUAGUAUCUUUAGAAUAAUAUGAUUAUCAUAAGUUUAAAAAUAUCUGAUGCGGAAUUGAAAUUGGUCAUUAGAUUUUAUGAAGAAGAACACCCGAUAAAUUGAUUUCUCCCUCUUAACCUUUUUCCCUUAACUACACAAAUAAGGAAAAAAAAUUUAUGUGUUUUGUGUGCAACUCUAAUAAGUAAAGUGGGAUUAAUUUAUAAUGAUAAACUUUUAAUCUGAUCAAGUAACCCAACGAAAUGAUAAAAUUUAAUUUCUAUUAAAGUAAAACUUUUAGGCCCCAUGAUUUUAGAGUUAUUGGGUCCACAUAAUUGGGAUAAAAAUCUUACAUUCUCUCACUUGGCCUAAUGAGAUAAAACAUAAACUUUAAUAGAACAAUUGUUGAGUGCGCAUAAAAAUAAUAUAAAAUUUGUCAUUAAAAUUUGAUUAGGUUGACCUCAUAUAAUGUGGCAGAUGAUUAAUAGAAAAUAAACAUGUUAAAUUGACAAAUUUUGAUAGAAACUGCCAACGAUAAUAAUAACCAAAUUAGAAUUUUUAAAUUGAAAAGGGAGGACUGAAAUUUUAACUUUUAAAGUACAAGAACCCAAUCUCAAAUUAAUUACAAGUACAGGGACUAAUAACACAUGUUAGCUUCUUCUUCUUUUUUAGGUAACAAAAAUAAUCAAUAUAUGACCAACAUGCGGUAGAAAUUUAUUUUAUUUUAUUUUAAAUAUUAAAUUACUUUUAGUUUAAUUAAAAUUUUUAAUUUUUUUUAAUUUAACAAUUGAACCGAGUGAUAAAAUACUUGCAAAUAAAUAUUCUGUGGGCAAAGAUUUAAUCAUUAAAUAUUACAUUUUUAAUUAUUUCAUUUAAGUACGUCGCAUAAAAAUAGUAAAAAGCGAAAGUAUUAAUAUUAUAAUUUUGAGACACCUUACAUGCGAUUCAAUUGUCUAAUCCAAAUGCGCGACUUCACAUUAUGUUGUCAGGGUAACUCAAACUAACUUGAUAUCAUUUUACUAAGUAACAUACAUUCAAACAAAUAAAUCACGUAUAAUUUCAAUUAAAUCAUGUGUACAUGUUUAAUGAAUGUCAAUUGAUCUAGUUUAAAGUAUUUAGGAGUUGUAUAGGAUCAAAUAUAGAGUUGGGAUUCGAAUCCAAACUCAUUUAUCCAAAUUUUAUAGGGGGUUUCGAGACAUGACAUUCAUGUCUCGAGACACUAAUAUAAUAUGGUCUAAAAUGAACAUUUAAAUGCAUUCAAUCACAAAUCAAUUCGUACCUAACUUAAACAAACUUUACACAAUUUCAUAUGCAUCAAUUUAACAAACAAAUAUAUAACCAAAUAUCCAAACAAUUUAACAUCAAGUCACCUCAACCUAAUGUAGUUAAAUAAAUGGCUUAAUACUUAAAACCAUGCAAACUCAUUCAUUACUCAAGCAUUAAAACUCAACAAAAGAAACCUUAUAGGUCCAUAGCUAACCAAAGCAUACCAUAUUGACCAAAACAAUAUUUAACUCGAGCUGAAUUACUGACCUUAAAUGCUUUACAAUUUUGAUCUACUAAAAACCUGUUUGAGAUCUGCGCAUAAAAACAAACACAACUAUACGUUGAGUAUUAAAUACUUAAUGGUGCUAACAUAAUCUGAAUUCAAAUAUAAAACAUUAAGCAAUUUAAUAUACUAAAUAAACAUUUUAUUUAAUAGAUUCAAUAUCAUAAUACUAAGGGCCAGUUCUUCAUUGCUUAACAAAAGCACUUCUGACUCCAAAAGUACUUUUGAAAGAAAAACUGUGAAGAACAAGCUGCUUUUGGCUGAAAUUUUUAGCUUUUUUCUGAAAAGGAGCUGAAAAUGAGAAGCUAAAAAUUUUAGCUUUUACUCUCCCAAAAGCACUUUUUGUGCUUAAUUACUUUUUCACCCCUCCAAUAACAUAGUAUUUUCCUUUUUUUUCUUGGUGCUUAAUUACAAAUGUGUUAAAAUUAUUAAUUAAAAAUAAAAAAUAUUUCUUAAAAUACUAAUUACAAAUAUUUAAUGGUUAUAUUUAAAUAUUUAAAAUAUAGUUUAUAUAUUCUAAUUAAAUUUUAUAAAUAAUUAAUAUUUAUUGCUUAAAAAUAUUUAAAAUUUAUAUUUCAUAUAUUAAAAUAUUAACAAUAAGCUAUAAUAAUUUUUUUAUAUUCUUACUAAAAUAUAAUAAUAUUAACUAAUUUAAAUAUUAUUUAAAUGCAUAUUUGUUACUUGAUAAUAACAUGUCUAAAAUGGACAUUUUAUUUCUCAAAAGCACUUUUUGACAGUAAUACUAAACACUCAAAUUUUAAGCCAAACUUUUCAAAAGCACUCCUCAAAAGCACUUUUCCACAGCACUUUUUAAAAGCAAUGAAGAACUAGCCCUAAGAUGGCAUUCUAGUAUUUCAUUACCCAAUUUCAUAUCGAGCAACAAUCAUCCCGUAACUUUAUACCAUUUCAUUUAUUCACCCUCAGGGUAUUUAAGUGACAUUUACCUAUGCAAUCAAUUUUCUCCUCGUGAGGCAAGUUCCAAUGUCACGAUACCCAAAACAAUAUUGAAAUUGAGAGUCUUGGAGGUCUCGGUGUCAUGAUACCCAUCUUUGGUAUCGCUAUAUCACUGGAGUUGACCUUAAGUUUUUUCACUUCAGCAUUGUUAGGGGUAUUACAACUUUCAUGACCUCAAUGUCGUGAUACCCCGUUCUAAAUGAUAAUUUCCUCGAGUUUGGGCCAUUAUCAACUUCCUACACCAACUCAAUCAUAUCACUAGGUCCCCCAUGGCGCCAUUUGGGUCUUAAUAUGGCAUAAAACUAAUAAAAAUUAUUAAUUAAUAACAAAAACUAAAAAUCGACAAAAGUAAAGAAAAUACACUUAUAUUGCUUGAGAAUAAGCUCCUCGAGUGUAAUGGAAAGCCUAAUUUGACAUAUCAAAUUACGUCAGAUCACUUGUUCAGCACAGGUUCAAACCGUGUUACCCCCUUCCUCUACCCCUAAUAUUGUAUAAAAAAACUAAUUGCUAAUCUUCUAAUGUAGUCUCUGUACUAUAGUACUUAAUAGUUUAUAUAAUUUAAUUACUAAAUAAUUUUAUUUCUAAUUUAUCUUUUAUUUUUUUAAUCUCACACUCGCUUUGUAAUUGCUCGAUCAAAAUUUUGAACAACUCGAUUUAAUAAAUUUGAUCCCACAAUUAACUUUUCCGACAUUGAAAAAAAUCGAAUCAAUACAAUAUUAUAAAAAAAAAUUUUAAGUAUAGGUGUAGUUAGGAGUCCAUGUUUUUUUAUAUUAAUCUAGUUUGAAGAAAAAAUCAAAUAAUAAAAAGUAGCAAAUUUUAAAAAUUUAUUUUCCUAUAAAAAAAGUUGUUAAAUUAAAUUAUUAUCUUGAAUGAUGUUUUGGUAUAAAUUAUGCAUGGGUUCUUUUUAAAUCUAUUUUGAUUUAAAUUUCGUUGUGUGUGGACCAUAUUGAUUUAUAAUAUGUUUGGUUUGUGUUUUGUUUUUUUUUAAAAUAAAUUUGGGCUAAACUGGUGAACGAAAUAUAUCUUUAGAUGCUAAAUAGAAAUUAAAAAUUUAAAUAACCAAAACAAAUAUAUAUAUAUAUAUAUAUAUAUAUAUAAAAAUUCAAGAGCUCAAACAUGAAUAAAGGCUAAUAAAUUUUGUGAUAAUUUUCUCUCACCUAUAGGCAAAUAAUUUCAAAAAAUAAAUUAUUUGAUAUAUUAUUAAUAAAUUUUAAAAUUUUUAUUUAUGAAUUUAAUAAAAUGUUAUAAUUUUUACUAAAAUGAAAUAUAUUAAAAUAAUGUAACAAAAUUCAUAUUUUGAUUUAUUUGUGAAAAUUAAAAAUCUCAUCAAGUUUAUAUAAAAAUGUACUUUUUAUUUUAAAUAAACGAUAGAAUCAUUUGGUUGCACCGAAGUGCCUAUGUGUUGGGUCGGAUAGCACACAAAAUUUUCCUAAAGCUCUUGCCUAAGCAUUAUUUAGGAUGAUGGGCUUUGAUUGAUCUGUUAGCCCAAAAGGUUAUAUUAAUAUAUAUUUUAUAAUUAAAUUUAAAUAUAUUUUUUUAUUUUUAAAUGUGCUUCAGCACACUGAAAUUCACAAUAAUAACAAACGUUAAUUAAAUUAAUUAUUUAAAUACUAACUUUUUAUAAAUAAUGAUUUCGAUUUACAUGUUGAUCUAAGUCAUGCAAAAUGUCUAACGUACCAAUUUAUAUAACCAAAGAAAAUACUUUAAUUUGUAGUGUAAGCUACACCAUUAGUCAAUAAAUUAUUAAUACAUUUUUAUUUUGGUCAUUGAACUACUUAAAAGUUCUCAUUUAAGUCAUUAGACUGUUAAAAUCGAUGCUACAUGGUUUUCUCAAUUCGCAUUGCUUGCGCUAAUCGAAAGCUCUCUUUCUCAUUUUCUUCUACAGUUGAGUUUUUUUUUUAUGAAACAAUUUUGGAUGUUACAAAUCUAAAAAACCAAAAUUUAAACAACUUUUCCCUCCGAUCUCUUACAUUGAUCAUCACAUUGAUCUGGAUCUAAAGUAUGUUCUUUUACUCGUCAAUGGAUAUUGAUCCACAUACUGAUCCUCGAAUUGUUGCUUGAAACUCGCUGGUGGAACUUAAAAAAAAAAACUUAAUAACUUAGUGACUUAAAUAAAAACUCUUGAAUAGUUCAGUGACUUAAAUGAAAAUUUUAAAAUAGUUCAAUGACCAAAUUAUAAUUUUUUAGUUAAGUGACCAAAACAAAAAUUUACCCAUAAUUGUGUAUUUUUCACUAAUUUGUAUCACUAAAUUACUUUAAGGGAUAUUGAGGAGUGACAAUACUUGUUACAGAUAGGCAAAGUUUUCAUCAAAAUUUGAAAAAAAACCUAGUGCAAUAGUUAUAUAAACUUUAGGGUAAAUUACAUCAAUUGUCCCUAAUCUUUAAUUAAAAUUAUAUUUUAGUCACGUAACUUUCAAAAGUUACAUAAUUGUCAUUAAAGUUAUCGAAAUGUUACAUUUUAACCACUCAUCAUUUAACUUUCGUUAAGAAGAUGAUGUGGCACAUUAAUUUAACGGGUUAGUCCCUGAACAAUAAUUAAAAUAUCAAAUUGACACUUUUAAAAUUUUUCUUUAUAAUAAUUCUAAAAAAUUUAAAGGGUAAACUACUCCAAUAGUCACUUAAGUUUUAAUGCGUUCCUAUUUUGGUUACCAGAUUUUUUUUUUUGUUAAUUUAGUCAUUUCCAUUAGAUUAAUUGUCAUUUUUAGUCACUCCAUCGUUAAAAUACAUUAGUCAUUGAACGGAAUGUUGAUGUGGCAAUCUUUUGAUUGGUAUAAUAACAAAUUUAGCCCUUAACACUUUACAUAUUCUGUUUACUUGGUCCUAUGUUGAAAAAAUAAACAAAUUUAACUCAAUGUUUACACAUUUUGUCAAUUUAGUCCAAAUUCAAAAAUUUUAUAAUUUUAAAAACUUGAAAAAAUAUAUAUAAUUUAUUAUAAAAAGACAUAAAACUAAAAAAAUAUUAAAAAAAUAUAUAAAAUUACUUGGUUGGGCUUUGAUUGUAGAUGAAACAAUUUAUACUUUUCUUUGGCUGAUGCAAACUUGGUUUAUAGCAAUGGGGGAAUAGGCUCCGCAAGUGAUGCUCACUGAUCAAAACAAUGCCAUAAAAGUAGUUGUAGCUGCUGUGUUUCCUGCUGCACGACGUUGUUUCUGUGUUAUGGCAUGUCUUGGGUGACUAUCUAAGUAAUUUACCCUUUAAAUUUUUUAGAAAAAGAUUAAAAGUAUCAAUUUGAUAUUAUAGUUAUAGUUCAGGGGCUAAAUUAGUUAUUAACCCUUUAAAUUAACAUGUCGCAUCAUUCUCUUAACGAAAGUUGGGUGAUUUUAAUCAAAUGUGCAGUUUAUCUUAUGUAUAAACACCGUAUUAAUAGAGUUUAAUAAAUAUUGUUUUCGUAUAUGUAGAUUAGAUCGCUCAAUAGUUGAAUAGGUUACAUAGAUGAGGAAGUUAGGUUUGUAUAAAAGAAGAUUGAAAUGAUUCAAUCAUUUUUGUGAAAUAAUAUUGAACAAAUAAAAUUUGAACAUUCAUAAUAUUUUCUCAAAAUUACGAACUUCAUCGCAUAAAAAGAAAACACGAGACUAACGACUGUUUCUCGUUUGUUGACCAAUAUUAUCCGGAAGUAGCUUUCAAAUGCUUAAAAAGUAACAGUGUAUUUUACAAUAUUAUCAGGCUACAUGGCCUCACUUUGUAUUCAAUAUAUAUUAUAAAAGAAAGCAAAGAACAAAAAUACAAAAUAAAUAAAGAAACUUACAUAGUGCUUUAACUUAUUACAAAGGGAUUUGUCUCCUUAGUAUGUUUCUACCAUGGGAGAUCGCCACUUUUAUCCCAACUAUCAGGUUAUCAUUACGUUGCCUUGGAGACAUCCUUACUUGACCUAUUGUACUUCAUAUGGCUCCUAACUAGUUGUCCUGCUGAAAUUGCAGACAUGAGCGACAGCUCCCCGGCAAGAACAGCAGACGCUACAAUGGUUGCUAGCGUCCUAGAGUUUGCCCCCGGUGUCUCUUUGCUUGCACCCUUCACUCCAAGUAAGUUCAAACAGGCUGAUUGAGAUGCAAGCUGAGUUCCACCACCAACAGUCCCAACCUAAAAGAUACAGCAACACAGAUAAUUAGGGACUAACAUAAAUAUCCAGAUUUUGUUUUGGCAACGUAAGUCCCUGUGUUGGAUAAUCAGACAGCAACACUAUCAAUUACCUCGAUGGAAGGCAUUGUGACAGAGAUGUGGAGAUCCUUGCCAUCAUUAACAGCUUCCAUCAUCGUGAUGCAAUGCGAGCUCUCGACGUUUUGAGCCGGAUCUUGGCCGGUAGCUAUGUAGAUUGCAGCAACGAUGUUACUGGCGUGAGCGUUAAAUCCACCCAGAGCUCCAGCCAUAGCUGAUCCAGUAAGGUUCUUCAGCAUGUUAAGCUCAACGAGAGAUUCCACACUUGUCUUCAAGACCUUCCUAACCACAUCACCCUUAAUGGUGGCUUCACAGACAACAGAUUUGCCUCGUCCUUCAAUCCAAUUUACCGCAGCCGGUUUUUUGUCGGAACAAUAGUUUCCUAUAUGCACAAAUUCAUAAAUAUCAGUGAUCCUAUGUCGGACAGUAAAAAGACAUAAUUGCAAGCCUAUACAAAAAAAUGAAACUCACCAGAGAUGCCAAUGACAUCCAUGUCAGGGAAAUCAGUUUGAAGGAAAUCCAAAACGUUUUGCACUCCCUUGGAAACCAUGUUCAUCCCCAUAGCAUCACCUGUACUGCAAGUGAAUCUAAUAUACAGAUUCUUUCCAGCAAUUGCACAUUUGAUACCCUGGAGCCUGCCAAAUCUACUUGAUCUGCAACCACCAAAAAGCCAAAAUUUUCAAUAUUAGCUUGAAUUUUAAAUCAAUCAAUAUGGAGUUCUAGAAAUACACAAACAAACCUGUUGAAAACAACAGACAAGGUCUCGAAAUUAUCAGGGUCCUCCAAAUACAACUUCAAAUCAGCUGCCCUUUUCGCAGUACCGAACCUUACACAUGGAGCUCUUGUCAUACCAUCUUUCAAUAGAACACUUGUAGCUCCACCAGACAAAUGAAUAGCCUUACAGCCCCUAUUAGUGCUAGCCACCAAGCACCCUUCCGUGGUUGCCAUAGGAACCGAGUACUCUCUUCCAUUAACCAACAAAGGCCCGGCAAUUCCAACGGGAAUUUGCACGUAGCCAACCGGCAUCUCACAACACUGCCCUAAAAUCGACUCGUAAUCAAACCCAUCCAAGGGCAAUCCAGAUAACGACUUCCCUGUUAAUCUUUGCAACGCUUCCCGCCUGAUUGCAGCCGCCCUCUUGCAAUCACCCAAUUUCGAUUCCAAGGAAUACGAAGGGGUUGUACCAGCCACUACAGAUUUAAUUAUUUCUUCAUCUUCCUCCGUUAG
This 42536-nucleotide long non-coding RNA is filed under the name Gossypium raimondii (Peruvian cotton). Its description in RNAcentral is "long non-coding RNA (GRAI_LNC004213)". The record is from RNAcentral. Lineage: Eukaryota; Viridiplantae; Streptophyta; Magnoliopsida; Malvales; Malvaceae.